RNAcentral lists this small nuclear RNA (120 nucleotides) under Gorilla gorilla gorilla (western lowland gorilla). RNAcentral's name for it is "U2 spliceosomal RNA". It matches the Rfam family "U2 spliceosomal RNA". From Rfam's summary of the family: U2 is a small nuclear RNA (snRNA) component of the spliceosome (involved in pre-mRNA splicing). The record is from Rfam by way of RNAcentral. Lineage: Eukaryota; Metazoa; Chordata; Mammalia; Primates; Hominidae.
AUUGCUUCUUGGCCUUUUAGCUAAGACCAAGUGUAGUAUCUGCUCUUAUCAGUUCUAAGAAAUAAAAAAAAAAAUUGGUUCAUUCAUUAUCAAAAAGUAAUCUUUAAACCUGGAAACUAU